GUUAGGAAGAUGGAUGUGGGAAGGUGUUUUUAGUUUGCUUUUCAUUCUUAUUUCUCUUAAUUUGUCACUGAUAUGACUGAGACCUUUCAGUCCAUAUCUCAGCUCAUGAGCUUCUUCUCAUUACAUUUUCUCCAUGUGCCUUUCUCAGGAGAGAGAAUGAGAGAGCAGUAUGGUGGUACUUAGCUGCCCAUCAGUGUGAAAUUACCACACCUGUACUUGCAAACAUAUGGGCUUUGUGAUUAUGGAAAGGCAAUUCGACCCCUGUAAUACUGACCUGUAGCAGCACCCAACUACCAGCUUGUUUUGUGAAUGCAAUUGCUUGUAACCUCACACGUGCAUUCAUACUGUCAUAUCAUAUUAAAUGAGCUAUAAUUGUAGUCUAUUAGAGUGCAAUAACCUAAAAGUGAUAGUGCAUGACAGCACCUGUCAACACGUCACGGAAGAUUGUAUGGGAUGCUGAAUGAUACCCAUUUUAUACCACAUUAAUGAGGCAGCUCAUUCUUACCCAGUCGUAAAUAAACAGGUUUCCAUUUCUUUAUACUCCCUCAGAAGCUUUAUUUAUUUAUUUAUUUUGUGCACAGGUCCACAGAAGUCAUGAUAAUGUCUAGGAAAAGAGUAUCAGAGUGCAGCUGUUAAUGACAAUGAUGAUGUUGUUUUUAUCAUUAUUAAAUGCUCUAUGAAUACAUAUUAAUGUGACUCUUUCCAUUUUAUGGAGGAGAAGAUAGUGAAAAAUAUAAGGAAAAACAAGAUUGACUAUGUUUAGUAAAGAUUUAAUGUAAAAUAAAUGAAUUGCCUGAUUGCUUCAGCAACACCCAAUGAAAAGUAUGGGCAGAAGCCUGCUCCUCUUCACAUUGGUGGCUGUUCUGGGGUCGUGCUUUCAUUUUUAAUUUUUCUAUUUGAAAUGGAGGUGGAAAGAGAAAAGGAGAAAUGACUGCAGAAAGAGGAAAGAGAGAGAGUAGGAGGCUUUCAGCAAAGUCAAAAGAAGAGCAAAUAUAUCAAAGUGGCCAUAUGAGGAAAGGUCAACAGAGGCCUUGGCAAGCCCACAUUUCCCCUCCUGGAUACUGUCAGAAGUAA
Molecule: long non-coding RNA, 1074 nt
Filed under: Coturnix japonica (Japanese quail)
Lineage: Eukaryota; Metazoa; Chordata; Aves; Galliformes; Phasianidae
Description: lncRNA (ENSCJPG00005013215.1)
Source: RNAcentral